This is a non-coding RNA of Pelobates cultripes (western spadefoot toad), 313 nucleotides long. NCBI's taxonomy places the organism in Eukaryota, Metazoa, Chordata, Amphibia, Anura, Pelobatidae. The record is from the annotation of a GenBank genome assembly.
UGUAGGUGGAAGUGGCGGUGGAGGAGGAGGUAGCCAAUGCUGUUUUUUAUAUAUAUAUUUUUUUAAUUGGGAUAGCUCCCAAAAUGUUGGGAGAAAAAGACAACUCUGUUCUGCAGAGUAGCUGUUGACAUUAUAGUUGCGCAGGCACUUUGUUGACCCUAGAGAACCUCGGGCCAAUCGCACAUCCCCAUGACGGCGAGUUUGCAUUCGGAUGUCAUCCAUAUCAACUUUCAAUGCCAGUUUCUGCACCUACCAUGGUGACCACGAGAAAAGGGACCCUGAGAAACGGCUACCACAUGCAAGGAAGGCAGCA